RNAcentral lists this non-coding RNA (260 nucleotides) under Dictyocaulus viviparus (bovine lungworm). Its description in RNAcentral is "Eukaryotic large subunit ribosomal RNA". It matches the Rfam family "Eukaryotic large subunit ribosomal RNA", at positions 1184 to 1517 of the family's 3401-position model. The record is from Rfam by way of RNAcentral. Lineage: Eukaryota; Metazoa; Nematoda; Chromadorea; Rhabditida; Metastrongylidae.
ACGAGGUCUCAUCUGUAUUCUAGAACUUUUAAGUUCAUACGCCAACGUCAGGCAGCUAAAAUCGUUUUUGUUUAGGCCAUUGUUUUUUCAUAGAAAAAUCUUGUACGCUUGACCAUAAUGAGUAGGAGGGUCGUAGCGGUUGCGUUGAAGGCGAUAGGUGUAGACCUAGCUGGAGCUUCCGUUAGUGUAGAUCUCGGUGGUAGUAGCAAAUAUUUAAGUUCGAUCCUUGAAGACUGAAGUGGAGAAGGGUUCCACGUGAA